AGUCGAGCGGAGAUGAGGUGCUUGCACCUUAUCUUAGCGGCGGACGGGUGAGUAAUGCUUAGGAAUCUGCCUAUUAGUGGGGGACAACAUUCCGAAAGGAAUGCUAAUACCGCAUACGUCCUACGGGAGAAAGCAGGGGAUCUUCGGACCUUGCGCUAAUAGAUGAGCCUAAGUCGGAUUAGCUAGUUGGUGGGGUAAAGGCCUACCAAGGCGACGAUCUGUAGCGGGUCUGAGAGGAUGAUCCGCCACACUGGGACUGAGACACGGCCCAGACUCCUACGGGAGGCAGCAGUGGGGAAUAUUGGACAAUGGGGGGAACCCUGAUCCAGCCAUGCCGCGUGUGUGAAGAAGGCCUUAUGGUUGUAAAGCACUUUAAGCGAGGAGGAGGCUACUGAGAUUAAUACUCUUGGAUAGUGGACGUUACUCGCAGAAUAAGCACCGGCUAACUCUGUGCCAGCAGCCGCGGUAAUACAGAGGGUGCGAGCGUUAAUCGGAUUUACUGGGCGUAAAGCGUGCGUAGGCUGUUUUUUAACCUCGGAUGUGAAAUCCCCGAGCUUAACUUGGGAAUUGCAUCCCAUACUGGGAACCUAUAGUAUGGG
RNAcentral lists this ribosomal RNA (599 nucleotides) under Acinetobacter calcoaceticus. RNAcentral describes it as "bacterial SSU rRNA". It matches the Rfam family "Bacterial small subunit ribosomal RNA", at positions 60 to 652 of the family's 1533-position model. The record is from RNAcentral. Lineage: Bacteria; Pseudomonadati; Pseudomonadota; Gammaproteobacteria; Moraxellales; Moraxellaceae.